This 398-nucleotide ribosomal RNA is filed under the name uncultured cyanobacterium. Its description in RNAcentral is "bacterial SSU rRNA". It matches the Rfam family "Bacterial small subunit ribosomal RNA", at positions 383 to 795 of the family's 1533-position model. The record is from RNAcentral. Lineage: Bacteria; Bacillati; Cyanobacteriota.
CGGACGGGUGAGUAACGCGUGAAGGAUGACGGCCUAUGGGUUGUAAACUUCUUUUUUCAGGGAGGAAUCAAUGACGUGUACCUGAAGAAUAAGCAUCGGCUAACUCCGUGCCAGCAGCCGCGGUAAGACGGAGGAUGCAAGUGUUAUCCGGAAUCACUGGGCGUAAAGCGUCUGUAGGUGGUCAAAUAAGUCAACUGUUAAAUCUUGAGGCUUAACCUCAAAAUCGCAGUCGAAACUAUUAGACUAGAGUAUAGUAGGGGUAAAGGGAAUUUCCAGUGGAGCGGUGAAAUGCGUAGAGAUUGGAAAGGACACCGAUGGCGAAGGCACUUUACUGGGCUAUUACUGACACUGAGAGACGAAAGCUAGGGUAGCAAAUGGGAUUAGAUACCCCAGUAGUC